CAAAACUCUUAUCAAAUACCUAAAUUAAUCAUAAUAUCUGUCUGUCUGUCGCACCAAAUUGCUCUCUGUUAGGAAUUAGGGUUUUGGUCAAGGCGGCGUUGGGCGGUUUCCGAUCUCCCUGAUUGUUCUCUUGCCGUAGGUACCCCAUCUGCUCUGCUCUGUGCUUCACAGGGCACAGUAGCACAAAUUGUUGUUAGUGUUCAAGUUCCAUUCUAAGAAAUAUUCUAAUAGGCUUAAAGUUGAGGCGGAAGGAUGCCUCGUGACUUGGCACGGUCACAAUCACGAUCACCUUCUUAUAGGCGAAGGCGUUCGCCAUCUCCAGUGGGGCAUCGGUCUAGCAGGAGAAGCCGCAGAGACAGAAGCCGGUCUCCAUAUUCUUCGUAUUCUCAUAGCAGGUGAUCCCGUUAAUAUUCCCCCUUUCUUGUGCUAAUUUAACUGAUUCUCAAUCAAUUUUUGGAAAGAUUGAGGCGUUACAUAUCGCUCAUGGGAUUUGGAUUUACAUAAUGUUCGAGUUUCUGUACGCAUCUUCUUAUCCUUCUUUUUAGAUCUGGUGGUACAUUUUCCAAUCAUGAAGUCUUUUUACCUGGUACCUACUAUGUUGAUGUUGGUGUCACAGCUAAAUGGGGCAUUCUCAUGAAAUAUCGCUUUGAGUUGAAAUUCUGUAUGCUAAUUGCUAAUAUUUGACUUUUUUGCUUCAAACCUUCAAGUGGACAGGAAUUGGUAGUUCCAUUGCCUAAAUUUGGUAUGCUUUGACAUUUGAUGUUCUGAGUUUGCUUUUCCGAUCUUCAACUACAGUUGUGGUUUGUACACCUUAGGCUUUGUUGCUGUCAUGCCAAUGCCAAAGAAUUGCUGAUGUUGUUAUAAAAUCUGAUGAUUGGCUUAGUUUCGAUAUAACAUUGAUGGACAUGUGACCUAUGGAAUAUUUUUUUUUUUAAUUUUUUUUAAUUUUUUUUUAUCUUUCUAAAUAAUUGGAUAAGAGUCUAGUAAGAAGAUAUGGAUUAAAAUAUGGAGUUUCCAGAGUGAUAUAAGGUUGCAUGCUCUUCCUAAGAAUUUAAAAGAAUUCAGAUUCUUCCCGUCAAAAGGGAAGUGAGCAGGUGAUGGUUGUCGUUGGCUGUUCUUUUGUUGCUCGAUUGUGACCUUUGCUUCUUCAUGUGAUAAAAGAUGGAGCACACAAAGGUUAUACUUAACAAUGUAUGAGGUAACCGUACAUGUUUCUAUAUACUUUGUGCUACAUGGUGGACUGACUUGAUAGUUAUUGAUUAUGUGUAGUCAUGUGCAAUUUUAAUUGUCGUUGCUAAUUGGUAUGUUUUUACUAUACAGACGGAAAAGUCGUUCAAUUACCCCUAAGCGUCGAAGAAGUCGUUUCGUCCGUAAAAGUCGUUCUCCAAGACCAAGACGAAGUCGUUCUCGUCGUAAAGUCGUAAAAGUCGUAAAAGUCGUUCUCCAGUAUUGAGGCGUUAUAAGAGGCAAAGAAGUAGGAGCUCCUCCUUGUCUCCUAUUCGUAAAUCUUCUAGUUCAAGUCUUGGAUUGUUGGACCAGAAAAAUGCUACUGAGAAAUUGAGAAAGGAAGAAGAAGAAGAGAAGAAAAGGUAUAACAAUUAUGGAACAUCAAUUGUUUUAUGAUAUAAUUUUUCUUUUUAACCUUUUUCUAAGCUCAUCUUUUAGAGUAGACUGACAGUUUUAACUCUUUGCCUGAGUUUUGCGCUAAGAUGUAAUGUGGGAUUGUUUUCAUUGCUACCCUCAAAUUUAAGAGUAGUGAUUUCUACAUGAAUAGUAGCUCUCCUGAAAGUUAAUGUAGUAUUUUUGGAUGCUUACUGUUGUGUUUUGUUCAUUAAAACCGUAGCGUAAUUAGUUUUAGGGAAAGAACCUCCUGUUGAUGUUUGAAUUAGCCUAGCCUAACUUUGUGGCACAUGCUUGUUUGUUAACAUUUCAGUUUUAUAUGGUACUUUCUCUGACAAUUAAAUUAAGGAUGGCUGCUGUUUACUUAUUCAUAAUUGAGAUGCACUAAUUAUUUGUUUAUUUCAGAAGUCAAUAAUACGAAAUUUAGUUAGACUCCAGAUUGUACGCAGCUGAUCCCAGAUACAUCUAUUCUGAUUCUAAGUAUUGUUAAUCUUCUUAUGACGGUAAGUAAUGCAGUCAAGCACCUUUUAAGGAUCAUCGGGGGUGGGUUGAGUACAAUGGGGCUGAGGAGGUCUGGUUAUGUGAAAACUAGUCAAUAAGAUCUGUACAGAAUUUAGUGGUUUAUCAAGAAUAAAUGCACUCUAACUUAAAUUUUAAAGCACAGUGUCCUGUCAACACAUGAUACUUUUCUUCACAUUCAUAAAUCAGUGGCUCUCCUCACAUCCACAAAUUAUUGGUCACAGCUGAUUUACUUUCCGUUACUCGUUCAGACAUAUGCUUCUACAGGACACGAUCAUCUUCCUGCAUAAGUUCAUUAUUGGAGUAUUCGGAGAUAUCUAGUCUGUCCAUUUGGUGUACGAGACCAACCAUAUGGUAGACCUAAGUGUUUGGAGAUUCUUUAGAAGUACCUGUUGUGCCUAACCUAAGAAGCUGAGCCAUGCAACAGUUGGGUAGACUGAAAAGUCCUGGUUAACUUUUGUUUACCAAAUCAUUUAGGCCUCGUUAAGGAGGACUAACUUGGAUAGGACUAUUCACUACAUUGAAGGCAUUUUGAAGGAAAAAAUGGAUGAGAACUUUCAUAUAUUGUCCAAGUUGAAGGUUUCUAUCCCUACCAGUCCCCACAAAAAUGGUAGGAUUGUAAGGGACACUUUUCUUCAUGAGUUAUCUUCAACUUGGACAAAAUAGGGAAGUUGUCAUCCAUUUCUCCCUUCAAAAUGCCUGCAAUAUAGUGUCUAGUCCUAUCCACGCUAAUCCUCUCUAUCAAACGAGGCCUUAGUAAACUUGUUCCUUAAGAUUUGGACUUUGUUGGCUUCUGAUUGUACUCCAUUCUGCCACGUGGCAACCGUAUGUCUCCAUCAGUGUUGAACUGCCGUUUCUGACAUGUGAAUGUUUUUCAAUGUCUCGUCAUUUAGUGUUUAUCACACUCAAGACACACUGCUUAGGCCAUAUAUAUAGAACUGUAGUCAUAUCAUGUCAAGAAUGCAUUUAGUUUAAAUUUGAAGUAACACGAUAAUUAGUUUUAA
This 3143-nucleotide small RNA is filed under the name Malus domestica (apple). RNAcentral describes it as "sRNA MD15G0358200". The record is from RNAcentral. Lineage: Eukaryota; Viridiplantae; Streptophyta; Magnoliopsida; Rosales; Rosaceae.